Molecule: long non-coding RNA, 540 nt
Organism: Suricata suricatta (meerkat)
Lineage: Eukaryota; Metazoa; Chordata; Mammalia; Carnivora; Herpestidae
Exons: 2
Source: RefSeq, a predicted model, not a curated record
AGUCCACAAGUGCGACCUUGGCCUCGGGAGCGUGGGGUCAGGCUAGUGGGCUCAGUCAGAAGAGGCUCCGGAGAAAAGGUGUGCCUCCCUGGAUCUCCACUUCCAACUUUGUUUUCUUUUGAAUAGACUUUAUUUUUGAGAGCAGCUUGAGGUUCACAGCAGGAUCGAACAGCAAGUGCAGAGAGUUUGCCAUGAACACCUCCCCCUCGGGCCACCCCCACACGGCCGCCUCCUCUGCCAGCAUCCUGCCACAGAGUCCUUUACGUGAGGAGAUCCCCUACUGCUGUUCUGCUCACCGCCUGUCAGUCGAUUUCCCAAGAGUCAGACCAGCCUUUUUAGAACAGAGAUAAUACGAUCCUGGUUAAAACCCUUGCUUGAAAUCCUUCAGCGAUACCACUUCACUCAUAUUAAGAUGGCUACUAUCAAAACAAAAAACAAAAAAACAACCCAGAAAAUAACAAGUGUUGGCCAGGAUGUGGAGAGAUCGGAACCCUUGUGCAGUGUCGGUGGAAAUAAUAAAUGGUGCAGCCACUGUGGAAA